This 967-nucleotide long non-coding RNA is filed under the name Heterocephalus glaber (naked mole-rat). Its description in RNAcentral is "lncRNA (ENSHGLG00100045867.1)". The record is from RNAcentral. Lineage: Eukaryota; Metazoa; Chordata; Mammalia; Rodentia; Bathyergidae.
GUGCUUGCUCAAUGCGCGCACCAACUUCGUCACCAGACACCUGAAUCAUGGACCACGUGCUGAUGGUCUCCACACCCUGGGGGCUUGCAUCGCAGGGGAGCUGGCAUUAUGGAGCUAGGGGCUAGGGCCAUGUUGCCAAGGCUGGGAUCCUGUUGCUAGGGGCUGAGAUCACAUUGCCAAGGCUGGUUUCCUGUUGCUAGGGGUUGAGAUCAUGUUGCUAAGGCUGGGAUCCUGUUGCUAGGGGCUGAGAUCAUGUUGCCAGGGCUGGGGCCCUGUUGCUAAGGUCUGGGACCACGUUGCCAAGGCUGGGAUGCUGUUGCUAGGGGCUUGGAUCAUGUUGAUAAAUCUGGGAUCCUGUUGCUAGGGAGUUGAAUUCUAUUGCUUGUAGCUGGGUCUUGUUGCCAUGGCUGGUGUUCUGUUGCUAGGGAGCUAGGAUUAUCAUGACAAGGGUCUGGUGCUAGGAAGCUGGCAGGGUCUUGUUUCUGAUGGCAGGGUCUUGUUUCUAGGGUGCUGGGAUUAUGAUGUGAACAGCUCAGUGCUAUAGUCAAGUGUUACAGCUCAGUGUCACAGCCAAGUGCCAUAGCUCUGAGGCACAACUGAGUGUUACAGUUCAGUGUUAUUGCCCUUGGUCUUGGCUAUCGCGAUUUGAAGACUCAAGAAUCCGAUUGUCACUCAAAAAGGUGAAGAAAAACCUUUACUACACCGGCAGGCUCAGAGGAGUUUGUACUCUGAAGUCUGAGUGCCGUACCAGAAACGUGAGCCUUCUUAUACAGGGAUCUACAGGUUAGGAGACUGGAGGUGACAGGCUGAGAGAGGCUGAAGAUGCCACAUUGCCAGCUCUGCAGAUGGAGGAUGGGGCCCAAGCCGAGAGCUGCAGGCGCCUCUAGGAGCCAGGAUGGGGGCCCGGGUUCUCCCUAGAGCCUCAGGAGGAGCAGCCCUGCCGCCUGCGCCUGGACUCAGCCCAGGG